This 265-nucleotide ribosomal RNA is filed under the name uncultured bacterium. RNAcentral's name for it is "partial 16S ribosomal RNA". It matches the Rfam family "Bacterial small subunit ribosomal RNA", at positions 332 to 590 of the family's 1533-position model. The record is from RNAcentral.
GUGAGCCUACGGGGCGCAGCAGUAGGGAAUCUUCCACAAUGGACGAAAGUCUGAUGGAGCAACGCCGCGUGAGUGAAGAAGGGUUUCGGCUCGUAAAGCUCUGUUGGUAGGGAAGAAAGAUAGAGGUAGGAACUGGCCUUUAUUUGACGGUAAUUACUUAGAAAGUCACGGCUAACUACGUGCCAGCAGCCGCGGGAAUACGUAGGGGGCAAGCGUUGUCCGGAUUUAUUGGGCGUAAAGCGAGUGCAGGCGGGUUGAAGAGUCU